Helianthus annuus (common sunflower) is the source of this 1609-nucleotide RNA transcript. It is a transcript of the gene named putative F-box/LRR-repeat protein 23, with no coding region annotated. The record is from RefSeq and is a predicted model, not a curated record. The transcript has 7 exons. Lineage: Eukaryota; Viridiplantae; Streptophyta; Magnoliopsida; Asterales; Asteraceae.
GGGCCCACGUGUUGGUCACUACUAUAUCAGUUUGGAACCAAAUUUUGAACUAAUGCGAGUAGUUCUGGAAUUCCCCAAAUUACCAACUAUUCUAGGGUUUACGAGAAUCCGCUACACACCGUGUAAUUAACGAUGCCACCAAAAGCAAAAAGCGAGGUGGAGACAGCAGCAACAAGGAACUGGUUGGAGCUUCCUUCAGAUUUGACGCUGAAUAUACUCCAAAGAAUUGGCGUGGUUGACAUACUCGAGAAUGCCCAGAAAGUAUGCACUGCUUGGCGUCAAAUCUGCAAGGACCCUGCUAUGUGGAAGGUCAUUUAUAUUGAGGAUCAAAGCAAGGAGAUCUUAAAGCAUGCUGUGGAUAGAAGCCAAGGCCAGUUGCUUGAUUUAACAGUCAUCCGCUUUUGCGAUGAUGAGCUCCUUCAGUAUGUCGCUGAUAGAUCAAGUCAGCUUAAACGUCUAGAAAUCGUAUAUUACUUUGGUGAAAGAUUUAGUGAAGCUUUGAAGAAAUUAUCAUUAUUGGAGGAACUCAGCCUUGUUGGAGUAUACGUAUCAGAAGAAGAUAUUGAAGCUGCUGGCCGCUAUUGCCCCUUGCUAAAAACACUCAAAAUGAACCAAAACUCAUAUAUAUCAUGGAAGGAUUGGGUUUUUUAUGGUAAUGAGGAUGAUCAUGACGGUUAUGAUGAUGAUUUUAACAUGACUGUUCAGAAUGAUGUAGCCAUAGCAAUUGGGAAAAACUUACCCGAGUUAACUCACCUUGAACUCAUUGGGAACGGCAUGAGAAACACUGGGUUGCAGGGUAUUCUGGACGGUUGUGGUCACCUUGAAACACUCGACUUGCGUCAGUGCUAUUAUGUUAAUCUAAAGGGGAGCUUAGGGAUAAGAUGUUAUCGACAGAUUAAAUGCCUAAAACUUCCUCAUGAUCAUCUCGAUGGGUAUCUACGUGCUUAUGAUAUAGUAGAUGACUCUGACGAUGAAUGUAAAGGAUACGAUUACUCGUUCUAUGAUGAUGAUGAUGACGACGAUGACGACGAUGAUGAUGAUGAUCAUGGUGGUGAUGAUGAAGAUGAAGGUGAUCGUAUAGCUGAUAUGUACAUCUUGAGGGAGAUGAUGGAUUUCAUUGAUAUGUAUAAGAAGUAACUUGCUAUGCAUAUUGGUGUGGCCGUUGCCAGCAAGAACAAUCUUCUCUUUGGCCUUUCUCAGAAGAGGUUCACGCUGACAAUUUUCCUACCCGAAUCACCUGAUGGAGGUUCUCGAUUACGCACCCCUUAAUAUCUAGGAAGUUGUGCCAAAACGCAUAGUUCAAAUGGAAAAGGCCAUACAAAACCGUGAUUUCCCAUCUUUUGCGCGUCUAGCUUGUAUAGACAGCAAUCAGUUUCAUGCAGUCUGCCUUGACACUUACCCUCCUAUAUUCUACAUGAAUGACACAUCCCAUAGCUACAUAAUUGGGGACAAGUCUAUACUAAAAGAUGCUGGGAUUAAGGAUAUGAAGGACGUGGAAGCAUUGACCCCGAUAAUUUAGAUAGGUACGAUAAUGAGAUUUGUAUGGAGUUGUGUGUGAGAAUACCCAUUUUUAGGAUUAUGUACCGAAAACAUGUCAACUGAAUAAUGU